GGGAUACGGCUGGAAACGGCCGCUAAUACCCCAUAUGCCGAGAGGUGAAAUGAAUUUCGCCUGAGGAUGAGCUCGCGUCUGAUUAGCUAGUUGGUGUGGUAAUGGCUCACCAAGGCUUCGAUCAGUAGCUGGUCUGAGAGGACGAUCAGCCACACUGGGACUGAGACACGGCCCAGACUCCUACGGGAGGCAGCAGUGGGGAAUUUUCCGCAAUGGGCGAAAGCCUGACGGAGCAACGCCGCGUGAGGGAUGAAGGCCUCUGGGCUGUAAACCUCUUUUCUCAAGGAAGAAGAACUGACGGUACUUGAGGAAUAAGCCACGGCUAAUUCCGUGCCAGCAGCCGCGGUAAUACGGGAGUGGCAAGCGUUAUCCGGAAUUAUUGGGCGUAAAGCGUCCGCAGGCGGCCUUGAAAGUCUGUCGUUAAAGCGUGGGGCUCAACUCCAUUUCAGCGAUGGAAACUACAAGGCUCGAGUGUGGUAGGGGCAGAGGGAAUUCCCGGUGUAGCGGUGAAAUGCGUAGAUAUCGGGAAGAACACCAGUGGCGAAGGCGCUCUGCUGGGCCAUAACUGACGCUCAUGGACGAAAGCUAGGGGAGCG
This 596-nucleotide ribosomal RNA is filed under the name Synechococcus sp. LS0535. RNAcentral describes it as "bacterial SSU rRNA". It matches the Rfam family "Bacterial small subunit ribosomal RNA", at positions 140 to 770 of the family's 1533-position model. Lineage: Bacteria; Bacillati; Cyanobacteriota; Cyanophyceae; Synechococcales; Synechococcaceae. The record is from RNAcentral.